Molecule: long non-coding RNA, 300 nt
Filed under: Parus major (Great Tit)
Lineage: Eukaryota; Metazoa; Chordata; Aves; Passeriformes; Paridae
Description: lncRNA (ENSPMJG00000011090.1)
Source: RNAcentral
CUCAGCCCCGCCGGCAGCGGGAGCGCUCCGCCGGCCGGGCGGGCUCUGCCCUGCGGGCCCUGCCCAGCCCUGCGCCCAACCCAGCCCGCAGGCACCUCCUCGACGCCCGGCUCUGCAGAUCUAGAGGGGAUGUUUGAAGACAUCACCUAUCCACCACUGCCAUCUUUUCUCAUUCUAUCCUCAGAAUUGCCAUCAGCUGGACAUACUCAUCUCUAUCAUUCUUGUCAGCAAGUAACCAGAAGGAAGAGAUUUAUAAAGCAGAUGUCAGAAUGUCAAAUCUGCCUUCAGCUGAUUUUCUAA